GACAGAGGGCUCAAACGUUGUUCGGAAUCACUGGGCAUAAAGGGCGCGUAGGCGGCCUAACAAGUCGUUUGUGAAAUCCCCCAGCUCAACUGGGGAACUGCAUGCGAUACUGUUUGGCUCGAGGACGGGAGGGGUAAGUGGAACUCCAGGUGGAACGGUGAAAUGUGUAGAUAUCUGGAGGAACACCGGUGGCGAAAGCGGCUUACUGGCCCGUAUCUGACGCUGAGGCGCGAAAGCUAGGGGAGCAAACGGG
Molecule: ribosomal RNA, 253 nt
Filed under: uncultured bacterium
Lineage: Bacteria
Description: partial 16S ribosomal RNA
Rfam family: Bacterial small subunit ribosomal RNA
Source: RNAcentral